Molecule: ribosomal RNA, 503 nt
Filed under: uncultured bacterium
Lineage: Bacteria
Description: partial 16S ribosomal RNA
Rfam family: Bacterial small subunit ribosomal RNA
Source: RNAcentral
AACGAACGCUGGCGGCGUGUUUAAGACAUGCAAGUCGCACGGGAUAAGACAUGUAGUAAUACUUGUUUUAUUUAGUGGCGCACGGGUGAGUAACACGUGAAUUACAUGCCCUAUAGUGGGGAAUAGCCCAGGGAAACUUGGAUUGAUACCCCAUGGUAUCGAAAGAUUGAAGCUGGCCGCAAGGCUGUCGCUAUAGGAUUGGUUCGCGCCCUAUCAGCCUGUUGGUGAGGUAACGGCUCACCAAGGCAAUGACGGGUACCUGGUCUGAGAGGACGAUCAGGCACACUGGAACUGAGACACGGUCCAGACACCUACGGGUGGCAGCAGUCGAGAAUAAUUCACAAUGGGGGCAACCCUGAUGGUGCAACGCCGCGUGGAGGAUGACGGUCUUCGGAUUGUAAACUCCUGUCAUCUGGGAGAAAGACCUGACGGUAAAUAGCCGGCAGGGUUGAUAGUACCAGAAGAGGAAGGGACGGCUAACUUCGUGCCAGCCGCCGCAGUAA